Molecule: non-coding RNA, 240 nt
Organism: Pelobates cultripes (western spadefoot toad)
Lineage: Eukaryota; Metazoa; Chordata; Amphibia; Anura; Pelobatidae
Source: the annotation of a GenBank genome assembly
CUGAAAUCCCUCUAGGAGCCGGUCAGCCAUCCUUUGGAACGUAGCGGGGGCAUUCUUCAUCCCAAAUGGCAUAACCUUAAACUGGUAUAGGCCAAAUGGGGUGACAAAUGCCGAUUUUGGGAUGGCCUCAGGCUCCAAGGGGAUUUGCCAAUAUCCCUUACACAAAUCAAUAGUGGUCAAAUAAUUCCCCCCAGCCAUGCGGUCAAGCAGCUCGUCCACUCGGGGCAUGGGGUAUGCGUC